UAGAGUUUGAUCCUGGCUCAGAAUCAACGCUGGCGGCGUGCCUAACACAUGCAAGUCGAACGAGAAAGUGGAGCAAUCCAUGAGUAAAGUGGCGACCGGGUGAGUAACACGUGACUAACCUACCCUCGAGUGGGGGAUAACUCCGGGAAACCGGAGCUAAUACCGCAUAACAUCGCAAGAUCAAAGCAGCAAUGCGCUUGAGGAGGGGGUCGCGGCUGAUUAGCUAGUUGGUAGGGUAAUGGCCUACCAAGGCUGAGAUCGGUAUCCGGCCUGAGAGGGCGCACGGACACACUGGAACUGAAACACGGUCCAGACUCCUACGGGAGGCAGCAGUGGGGAAUUUUGCGCAAUGGGGGAAACCCUGACGCAGCAACGCCGCGUGGAGGAUGAAGUCCCUUGGGACGUAAACUCCUUUCGACCCGGACGAUAC
This 430-nucleotide ribosomal RNA is filed under the name uncultured Actinomycetes bacterium. RNAcentral describes it as "bacterial SSU rRNA". It matches the Rfam family "Bacterial small subunit ribosomal RNA", at positions 1 to 451 of the family's 1533-position model. The record is from RNAcentral. Lineage: Bacteria; Bacillati; Actinomycetota; Actinomycetes.